Molecule: non-coding RNA, 31 nt
Filed under: Rattus norvegicus (Norway rat)
Lineage: Eukaryota; Metazoa; Chordata; Mammalia; Rodentia; Muridae
Source: RNAcentral
UAAGAUGGUUCUUAUUUCCUCCAAGAUGGCU